AUGCAUCCGUACAUUUAGUUGGAGUUGACUCGCCUCCACAUCACAUAAAGUUUCUUGGGGGUGCAGAAUACCUCCAAGUUGUCAGAUGUACGUUUGUCGGGGAAGAGAGAAUUUAAAAGAAAUUCAAAGUGUAUUUGACUUGAACAAGAAACCCGUAGAUCAUCAUGCCACAUGCAAACUAAACUGGGAAUUAACAAACAUGACGCCACUGUGGCUGUGGGGUAGGAGCUAAACUAUUAACCGUAACCAACUGGAGAGUGAUCAAGAAUAAGGACACAAAACUCUAAGUAACAAAAUGCUGUAAGAUGGAUAAAAGAAGUUGGAACCGACGGGAUUUGAACUCCGUAAAAUCGACACAAGCAAUACCACAAUACCUUUUACGUCAAGGGACUUCAUCGUCACAGCAAUUCAUAAUGGUUUCUAUGGCAAUGACGAGUUUUUUCGAAGACGGAAAGAUACACUUCUUUUUAGGAAGGACAGCGUAUAACUGAUGCCAACACUCUCUCAAUAUUACUGGUCUGAAAAUUGGUUGAAGGGGGCCAGUCGAUUCCAUCAACCCCUGUGUUUCACUGGUACUUUAUUUGUCAACCCCGAAAGGAUGAAAGAUAAAGUGGACCUCGGAAGAAUUUGAACUCAAAACGUAGCGGUAUAUGAAAUACCGCUAAACAUUUCGGCCGGCGUGCUAACGAUUCUGCCAAUACACUGACUUAAAAAAUUCUUAAAUAAUACUAACUGUUCUUUUUACUUUUUAAGGUUCUUAAUUCAGUUUCAGUAGAACAGCAGCAGAAUUGACGAUUAUAAAGUAUAGAAGAUGUGUACCAGGGUGGAUGACUCAUCAGAUUUGAUUGUGUUAAUUGCUCACUAACACGAGCCCUUCGUAACAAUGCGUUUUUCACACAAACCAACUGCUUUGUUCGUUCGGCUCGCGUUACUUCUGCAGUUAUGGUCGUCAGAUGCGGCACAAAAAUCUCUUGCCAAAUACACACGCGCACACACACGUAGGCACGCAUGCACACACACAAACACUCGCUCACAUACACGCACAAACACAUCUACGCCUCCACACAAACUUACUCACAAACUUACACACACCUAGACAGGCACUUACAGACAUACACUACGGGCUUCCACGUAGUUUCCGUCUUCCAAAGUCACUCAUGAGGUAUUAGUCAACCUGAGGCUAUCGUAGAAGAUAUUUUCCCAAGGUUCGCUAAGUGGGACCGAACUCAAAAUCACGUGGUUGAAAAUGAGCUUCUUAACGACACAACCAAGCAAAUAACAUCAAUUUCGUUUAAAAGCAUUUUCUUUACGGAGCUUGAGUAAAAAAAAAGAAGAAAAAUAGGGAAAUGUUAUCCAAACGAGGUAUCCCUAACCACUUGACCGUGGGCCAGUCUCAGGCUGCAUAGGCAAAAUAAAUUAAAAAAUUUUAUUUCUUUUCUAUCGCAGUGUAUACGGUGUUUUUGUGUUACACUGGGAAACAUGGCUUUAGUUGUUUGGUGUUGGAGUAAUUUCCUAGCAAUUUUGGGUUCUGCUGAUUUCAAGAAUUGAAAUCCAUUGUCACCAUUUCUAAGGAUAGAUUUGGCUUCAUCAAAUGCAGACCCAUAUCUGGAGCUCGACACAACUUUGAAAACAUAGUUUUUCGAUAUCAGUUAAAGAGAAUACAACCACAAAAAUGAAAACAAAAGUUAUGAUUUAAGUAUCUUUCCGUAAAUAAAAUGCAUUAGCAUUGAGCAACUUUCCCUAUUUUCAAUCUAACCAGUUUUAAAUGUCAUGAUGAUGACAGAAAUGUCAUCCAUACAAUUAAAUAUCAUAUUUCUGUGGUCCUUGACGUUAUACAUGCCUCAUAUUUAUGGAAUUUGUUUGCAGAUAUGCCACGCUGUGCUUGACUUAGUGUAACUAUCAUUGCAAACUAGGUGAAACAUAUUUUGUUGUACCUUUAACUAUUUCUUAUGAAAAUUGGUAUCUUGAAUGCGCCCUUAAUGUUUUGAAGCCACAUGGGUCAAGGUCACUUUUUGUCAAAGGACUGUAGGAGGAACUUCAUGGUAUGUAUGCUCUUUUUGUGGAAAUUUUGCCAUCACAAAUCUCCAUUUGCUUACUUUAUAACUGUUGGCAAUUCUGAAAAUGCUUUUCCCAAGUGACAGCUGGCUCGAAUACAUGUUUUGUAUUUCAGAAAUAGGGCCAGUUGUGAGAGAAGAACAUACAAAAAUAGCUCUAAUGUUUUUUGUUUGCGAAGAAAACUUACCUUAUAAAAGCAGCUGACCAGCCCUAUUACUUUCGGACAAACAAUGCAACUGUGCUUAUUCAGAGAGUAAACAGCAGAAAAAAAUUACGUGAUUGGCGGAAACUGGGUGUUGUUUUGAAAUCAGCCAAUUUUAGUCUAAACCAAGCGAAAAAGCAAACUCAACAGAAAUUAUAUUAAAAAUUGUUAACCCUGCCUUGUAUAUGUAUCAUAAAUGUAAUAUAUAUGUGUAUUAUGUAUGUAAUAAAUAAAUUAUAUAUUACGCA
Octopus bimaculoides (California two-spot octopus) is the source of this 2505-nucleotide long non-coding RNA. Lineage: Eukaryota; Metazoa; Mollusca; Cephalopoda; Octopoda; Octopodidae. The record is from RefSeq and is a predicted model, not a curated record.